AUUGAACGCUGGCGGCAGGCCUAACACAUGCAAGUCGAACGAGUGGCGGACGGGUGAGUAAUGUCUGGGAAACUGCCUGAUGGAGGGGGAUAACUACUGGAAACGGUAGCUAAUACCCCAUACCAUCAGAUGGGCCCAGAUGGGAUUAGCUUUUUGGUGGGGUAAGGGCGCACAAAGGCGACGAUCCCUAGCUGGUCUGAGAGGAUGACCGGCCACACUGGAACUGAGACACGGUCCAGACUCCUACGGGAGGCAGCAGUGGGGAAUAUUGCACAAUGGGCGAAAGCCUGAUGCAGCCAUGCCGCGUGUAUGAAGAAGGCCUUCGGGUUGUAAAGUACUUUCAGCGGGGAGGCGUUACCCGCAGAAGAAGCACCGGCUAACUACGUGCCAGCAGCCGCGGUAAUUC
RNAcentral lists this ribosomal RNA (406 nucleotides) under uncultured bacterium. Its description in RNAcentral is "partial 16S ribosomal RNA". It matches the Rfam family "Bacterial small subunit ribosomal RNA", at positions 30 to 526 of the family's 1533-position model. The record is from RNAcentral.